GUGCUUCCACCCUCUGGCAGGAGAAGGGAAGGGGGGAAGGGACUGGGGGGAGGGGAUGGGGAAGGACACUGAUUGGGAUGUAAAUAAAUUUAAGAAAAGAAAAGAAAGAGCUACAGCUUGGAGAGACAGAGUGGCCAGCAGAGGGACCCCAGGGGCAGAGGCUCCCACGCGGGCUCCACCUUGACUGAACUUCUAGAAAGUGAGUUUUCAAAGCCAACUGUGACCCGGACUGAGCUCACUGUGGUCACCAGAACAAGGACCACUAGGAACCUGAGAGAUACCCUAACAUGUGAGGCAGGAGCACCUCAGCCCCACAGAACCACAGGUCAAGGGCAAAUGCAGACUGGCUACAAGUAAAAAAAAAAAAAAAAAAAUGAGAUGAGAGUUGGGGGAGAGUGUUGGGGAUUGGUUCUAAUGCUCUCAAUUAACCCGGCCCCCCAAAAUCGGGAAUCUGCAUGUCCAAACGCUGAAGGUCCUUGUCCUCAGUGGCUUUUUGAUCUACCAGUAAAAAGUCAAUGGCCAGUGGGUAGGCAGGUAGACUGAGGUGGGACCUUAGAUUUACAAGGGCUAGGGACUGGAAGAGAGAAGGAGAGAAAUUGCCAUGACUUGGAGGGAGACAAUCGGAUUUAGAGCUGCACAAGGAAAAUCAUCCAAAAUGUAGGUGAGAAGGAAGGCGGCACUGGAAGGGCUGCUCAGAAGUGUCUUGGGCAGCAAAGACUAGGAAGCUGCCCAGAAGGAGCCAGGGUGACAAAGAUAAAAUAUAGAAUUAGAGAGAGUUAAGCCAGGAUUACAGGAGGGAAAUUAUGCUAGCUGUGGGAAGGAUUAGAACUGCCCAGCCUUUAAGCUAGCCAAGACAUGUUAAAAUUAACUGGUGUGUGUGUGAAUGUUAUGAGUGUGUGUGUACACAUGCCACCACUGAGCUUAACCCAGGAGGAUAGUGUGGUGACAGAGCAGCCCUCAGGAAGCAUUCCAUCCCACUGAAUAGAAGCACCUUGUGAGCAUCACCUUUAGUGAGACACACACAGGAGAGACAAUGAAAUGACAUGGCAAGGAGAGAGCCAAACCCAGGUGCAGGGUGUCCAGCAAAACAACUACCCAUAACUCCAGUUCCGGGGUCUCUGGCACCCUCUUCCAAGGGUGCUUGCCCUCACAUGCAUGUAUCUCUCCCCCCUACACACACACACACACACACACACACACACACACACACACACGCAUACACACAUGCACACGCAUGCAUACACACAUGCACACACACAUGCACACAUACACUCACACACAUGUACACAAACAUACACACACGCGCAUACACACAUGCAUACACACACUCGCAUACACACACAUACACACACGCACACACACAAAUGCAUACACACACACACACACACACACACACACACACACACACACACACGCAUACAGAAUUCUUAAACAGGAGCUGAAGAUCUGCAUAAGCCAGAAGCCUAACAUGCACAUGAGAGCAGAAGUCGGCCUGAAAGCUGAAAAGACCUGGGCAUCCAAGCGAAGCUCGUGGACUGUCACAGGGUCCCGGUUCUAAAAGAAUGGACAGCUGUCAAACAUAUUUUUGAGCACAAGGCAGAAUUCGGAAAACAGUUCAAGUUAAACUUGGCACAAAGACCAAGGAAGAUGGGACUCCCGCAACCUAGGAAGUGCUCUUCUGGCCAUUCACAAAUGUGAGUCCUGGAAGGAAAUUUACAAGAGGAGAGAGGACAAAAGAGAUGCAGGGGCCGGAGAGAGGCCAGGAGCACUGGCUGCUCUUGCAGAGGACCCAGGCUGGAUUCCCAGCUCCCACAGGAAGACUCACAACCCAAGACCGUCUGUAACUCCAGUUCGGAGCUGGAACCCAACAGUCUCUUCUGGUCUCCGCAGGCACCAAGCAUGGCUCUGCCGUAUAGACAGACAGACAGACAUAGGUGGCACACUCAAACACAUAAAGUAAAAAAUAAACCUUGUAAAAUUUA
Non-coding RNA from Rattus norvegicus (Norway rat), 1982 nucleotides. Lineage: Eukaryota; Metazoa; Chordata; Mammalia; Rodentia; Muridae. The record is from RefSeq and is a predicted model, not a curated record.